This 140-nucleotide unclassified non-coding RNA is filed under the name Oryza sativa (Asian cultivated rice). RNAcentral's name for it is "partial microRNA MIR472j precursor". Lineage: Eukaryota; Viridiplantae; Streptophyta; Magnoliopsida; Poales; Poaceae. The record is from RNAcentral.
CCUCCGUUUCACAAUGUAAAUCAUUCUAGUAUUUCCCACAUUCAUAUUGAUAUUAAUAAAUCUAGAGAUAUAUAUCUAUCAAGAUUCAUUAACAUCAAUAUUAAUGUGGGAAAUGCUAGAAAUGAUUUACAUUAUUAAAC